This 574-nucleotide ribosomal RNA is filed under the name uncultured bacterium. RNAcentral's name for it is "partial 16S ribosomal RNA". It matches the Rfam family "Bacterial small subunit ribosomal RNA", at positions 355 to 919 of the family's 1533-position model. The record is from RNAcentral.
UGGGGAAUUUUGGACAAUGGGCGAAAGCCUGAUCCAGCAAUGCCGCGUGUGUGAAGAAGGCCUUCGGGUUGUAAAGCACUUUUGUCCGGAAAGAAAUCCUUGGCUCUAAUACAGUCGGGGGAUGACGGUACCGGAAGAAUAAGCACCGGCUAACUACGUGCCAGCAGCCGCGGUAAUACGUAGGGUGCAAGCGUUAAUCGGAAUUACUGGGCGUAAAGCGUGCGCAGGCGGUUUGCUAAGACCGAUGUGAAAUCCCCGGGCUCAACCUGGGAACUGCAUUGGUGACUGGCAGGCUAGAGUAUGGCAGAGGGGGGUAGAAUUCCACGUGUAGCAGUGAAAUGCGUAGAGAUGUGGAGGAAUACCGAUGGCGAAGGCAGCCCCCUGGGCCAAGUACUGACGCUCAUGCACGAAAGCGUGGGGGAGCAAACAGGAUUAGAUACCCCUGGUAGUCCACGCCCUAAACGAUGUCAACUAGUUGUUGGGGGAUUCAUUUCCUUAGUAACGUAGCUAACGCGUGAAGUUGACCGCCGGGGAGUACGGUCGCAAGAUUAAAACUCAAAUGAAUUGACGGGGU